RNAcentral lists this ribosomal RNA (478 nucleotides) under uncultured bacterium. RNAcentral's name for it is "partial 16S ribosomal RNA". It matches the Rfam family "Bacterial small subunit ribosomal RNA", at positions 28 to 507 of the family's 1533-position model. The record is from RNAcentral.
GACGAACGCUGGUGGCGUGCUUAACACAUGCAAGUCGAACGGGAUUUAGUAAACAGAAGCCUCGGUGGAAGAUUACUAAUGAGAGUGGCGAACGGGUGAGUAACGCGUGAGCAACCUGCCUAUGACAGUGGGAUAGCCUCGGGAAACCGGGAUUAAUACCGCAUAAAAUCGUAGAAACACAUGUUUUAACGGUCAAAGAUUUAUCGGUCAUAGAUGGGCUCGCGUCUGAUUAGCUAGUUGGUGAGAUAACAGCCCACCAAGGCGACGAUCAGUAGCCGGUCUGAGAGGAUGAACGGCCACAUUGGAACUGAGACACGGUCCAAACUCCUACGGGAGGCAGCAGUGGGGAAUAUUGCACAAUGGGGGAAACCCUGAUGCAGCGACGCCGCGUGAACGAAGAAGGUAUCCGUAUCGUAAAGUUCUGUCCUAUGGGAAGAUAAUGACAGUACCAUAGAAGAAAGCUCCGGCUAAAUACGUG